RNA transcript from Rattus norvegicus (Norway rat), 1530 nucleotides. It is a transcript of the gene named dynein heavy chain 17, axonemal-like, with no coding region annotated. The record is from RefSeq and is a predicted model, not a curated record. Lineage: Eukaryota; Metazoa; Chordata; Mammalia; Rodentia; Muridae.
UUCUAAACUAGCAGGGAUUAACUGCUGUUAACCGCUGAGCAGUCUCUCCGGCUCAGGGCCUGAGAUUCUUGCACACCUUUCAUGUAUGGAGCCGCACUACCCAGAGCUUACCUUCAGCUCUCUGCUGGAGUGUUUGCACCACGCUGCUGAUACAGUAAUGAGAGGACAGGAGGAUGAUGUGGCAUUUGGUGACCAGGCCUGAAUCUAGGAUCUUCCACUACCGCCCCUUUUCCAGUGAGCACUCAUCCUGGCUCCAAGCCAACCAUGUGCGAGAAAAACUUGAAAUUCAAAGCAUCUAGCCACUCGCGGCUUCAUGGUGGUGAGCCUUUCAGAAAAUGAGACGUCUCACAGCACUGUAACAGCUCUUUCAUGCCCCAUGGCCAAAUCCCAACCACUUUCCAGGCGUAACUUCUUGACGCUUUCUUGCAUUCCUCCUCCGUACUCUCUUCUUGUAGCAAGUUGCCGAAAGCUGUCUUUAUUCCAACAUGCCCCUAUGCUAUUUGAACCUCUCUAACCUGCUUCAUACAUCUCUUAGAUCUACAGAGCUUGGCACAGCCAUGCAUGUACAGCAUACAAGAAUGGAAUAUGUGAUUAAUAUAUCGGCGACAUGGUCAUAAGCUAAAGUCACCCGAGUAAGGAGCCAACUGAAGAGGAGUCCUGAUUGCCUUCAUGUGGGAAGACCGCCUCCCGGUGGGCGGUGCCUUCUGUGGGCUUGCUGGAAGGAGGGCGGUCUGCUUUGCCCACGUGGCUUGCUUCCUGCAUCAGAGUAGGUUCAGCCUGUUGUUGCUGCUGUGAUUCUUUGGCUGACGUUAGAACUAGUGUUGCCAGGCUUUAAUCUUGGACGUAAAGACCUGCAGCUCUCUAAGAACCUCACAGGUUCUCGGUGCCAGGUCGGGACGACUGAGGCACCUAGCCGUGAGGACUGAGCCUCUCAGAUCUGAGACAACUAUUGUUACUACUUUAACGAAAGAAGACGGCUCGGAUGAAUGUGCGGGAGGAAAUGCACCAGGAAAUCCCAAGCAGGGCGCAAUCAGUCACCAUUAAUGCUCGGAAGGAUGAAAGCUACUUGAAGAAAUACAGCCACUUAUGGACGGACGGUAAAAUUGAAUUCAUGAAGCAGUGCCUUCUCCAUGGGCGAUUUCUCGGAGCUGAAGCCCCAGAAUUGCACGCUGGCUGUGAGUGUCAGGCUUCCCCUCCACAGUUAGCACACUUUAAAGAACAGGUCUUGGAACUCAUAACCUUCUUGACUCAGCCUUCUAAGUGCCGAAAUUAGAGAUGUGUGCCACCAGUCCCAGAUAAAACGUCGUUCAAAAAAUUUUAAGCGGGUUGGAGAGAUGGUGGUUAAGAGCACUCACUGCUCUUCCAGAGGUCCUGAGUUCAAUUCCCAGCAACCACAUGGUGGCUCACAACCAUCCCUAAUGGAUUCUGAUGCCCUCUUCUGGUGUGUCUGAAGACAGCGACAGUGUACUCACAUAUAUAAAAUAAAAAUAAAUCUUUAAAAUAAAAAAUGUAAAUGCAAUUAAAUGAAAA